UCCGUAGGUGAACCUGCGGAGGGAUCAUUACACAAAUAUGAAGGCGGGCUGGAACCUCUCGGGGUUACAGCCUUGCUGAAUUAUUCACCCUUGUCUUUUGCGUACUUCUUGUUUCCUUGGUGGGUUCGCCCACCACUAGGACAAACAUAAACCUUUUGUAAUUGCAAUCAGCGUCAGUAACAAAUUAAUAAUUACAACUUUCAACAACGGAUCUCUUGGUUCUGGCAUCGAUGAAGAACGCAGCGAAAUGCGAUAAGUAGUGUGAAUUGCACAAUUCAGUGAAUCAUCGAAUCUUUGAACGCACAUUGCGCCCUUUGGUAUUCCAAAGGGCAUGCCUGUUCGAGCGUCAUUUGUACCCUCAAGCUUUGCUUGGUGUUGGGCGUCUUGUCUCUAGCUUUGCUGGAGACUCGCCUUAAAGUAAUUGGCAGCCGGCCUACUGGUUUCGGAGCGCAGCACAAGUCGCACUCUCUAUCAGCAAAGGUCUAGCAUCCAUUAAGCCUUUUUUUCAACUUUUGACCUCGGAUCAGGUAGGGAUACCCGCUGAACUUAAGCAUAUCAAUAAGCGGAGGAA
RNAcentral lists this ribosomal RNA (571 nucleotides) under Alternaria alternata. Its description in RNAcentral is "eukaryotic LSU rRNA". The stretch from base 196 to 349 matches the Rfam family "5.8S ribosomal RNA". Lineage: Eukaryota; Fungi; Ascomycota; Dothideomycetes; Pleosporales; Pleosporaceae. The record is from RNAcentral.